This 665-nucleotide ribosomal RNA is filed under the name Thaxterogaster violaceonitens. Its description in RNAcentral is "eukaryotic LSU rRNA". The stretch from base 288 to 441 matches the Rfam family "5.8S ribosomal RNA". The record is from RNAcentral. Lineage: Eukaryota; Fungi; Basidiomycota; Agaricomycetes; Agaricales; Cortinariaceae.
AAAAGUCGUAACAAGGUUUCCGUAGGUGAACCUGCGGAAGGAUCAUUAUUGAAAUAAACCUGAUGAGUUGCUGCUGGCUCUCUAGGGAGCAUGUGCACACUUGUCAUCUUUAUAUCUCCACCUGUGCACCUUUUGUAGAUCUGGAUAUCUCUCUGAGCGCUUAGCAAUUCAGGUUUGAGGAUUGACUUUAUUGUCUCUCCUUACAUUUCCAGACCUAUGUUUCUUUAUAUACCCCAAUGUAUGUCAUAGAAUGUAGUUAAUGGGCCUUUGUGCCUAUAAAUCUAUACAACUUUCAGCAACGGAUCUCUUGGCUCUCGCAUCGAUGAAGAACGCAGCGAAAUGCGAUAAGUAAUGUGAAUUGCAGAAUUCAGUGAAUCAUCGAAUCUUUGAACGCACCUUGCGCUCCUUGGUAUUCUGAGGAGCAUGCCUGUUUGAGUGUCAUUAAUAUAUAUCAACCUCUACAACUUUUGUUUGUUGAGUUGUUGGAUGUGGGGGCUCUUGCUGGCUUCUCUGAGGUCAGCUCCCCUGAAAUACAUUAGCAGAACGAUCCCCGUUCAUUGGUGUGAUAACUAUCUACGCUAUUGACGUGAAGUAGUUUGGCUUAUAACAGUCCAUUGACUUGGACAAAUUUUCAUUAAUGUGACCUCAAAUCAGGUAGGACUACC